UACUGGGGAUAUAAGGAAGAGAAUAGGAUUAGUUAUAUGUAUUAGUAAGGGAAAAAGGGAUAAAUAGGGUUGAAAAUAUUAGAAAACGUGGAUUGGGUUAUGAAAAUCGUGGAGCGUGGACGGAGUCACGUCGAGAUCCGAAAUUUUGUGAAUAAAACAAACAGUUUGAAUUUGAACCGGCAAGGAAUACAGCCACUAGAACCGGGCCGGAAGAUUUCCUGGAGAGGAACACUGGAGUCCGAGAAAGUCGACUGCAGAGAAGAAGACGAUACAACGGGACCUGAGUGAGUUCGUUCCAGUUGCGCGUGUGUGAGCCAAGUAGCGCGGGACGUGUGAAGGGGGGGGGUGAAAGAGGUCGAGUGAGCGGCCAGGGCGAUUCUAGCCACACCGCACGACCGUUGCAUCGCCGUCCAGUGCGUGCCACACGUUUGGGCUCUUUUACCAAGUGAAAACCUCGAAAUCCUAUUUACACACACACACACGCGCACACGUAUACACGAACCUAGAUAAAUUUAGGGCUGACCGGCCACGGCCAGCGAUCAGCGAGCCCACGUUAUUGAACUUAAAGAAAAACAAAUAAUCCGCACUCCAAACACCGUUCCACUGUAAAUGUUAUUUUGUUCCGUGUGUUGUCCUUUAUUCUGUAUUUAGUAUAAGCUCAAAACGUUUAACGUAAAAUCUUGGCCAGUGAAAAAAAAUAUGUAUGUAAAAACACCAACACCUUUCACAAACGUAAAUCUGCGAUCAGCUGGUCAACGCCAGAAGAUUAACCCUUAGCGGGUGACGCGGGGGUCCCAUCAGUCCACCGUAUUUGGUCGAGUGAAUUGUGGAAAAUAUUGUUUAUGUCCCGGGGACCCUUAACAAGAGCUCUUGGUAGGUCAGGUCUCCGUAGGGGCCCGAGUUGAAUUAACUCCCGUAAGACGGAUCCAGUCCCCACUCAUCUACACAUAGUCCAGUACGAAUGGGUGAGGGUAUCCCUGUAGGUUAAACGAAAUUUCAGCAGUUAUUUCCGUGUUUGUCUUUGUGUCGAACGUUUUGGUGUUUCUUUUUGGUUAGGGAUAAUUUUGAGUAUAGCUAUUUAUUAAUAAGAAAUAUGAAGUUGUCAAUUUAUAAUUAUUAAAGCUUGGAUAUAGACUGAA
Long non-coding RNA from Drosophila pseudoobscura, 1139 nucleotides. RefSeq lists it as uncharacterized. The record is from RefSeq and is a predicted model, not a curated record. The transcript has 2 exons. Lineage: Eukaryota; Metazoa; Arthropoda; Insecta; Diptera; Drosophilidae.